RNAcentral lists this ribosomal RNA (497 nucleotides) under uncultured bacterium. RNAcentral describes it as "partial 16S ribosomal RNA". It matches the Rfam family "Bacterial small subunit ribosomal RNA", at positions 28 to 507 of the family's 1533-position model. The record is from RNAcentral.
GACGAACGCUGGCGGCGUGCCUAAUACAUGCAAGUUGAGCGCUGAAGGUUGGUACUUGUACCAACUGGAUGAGCAGCGAACGGGUGAGUAACGCGUGGGGAAUCUGCCUUUGAGCGGGGGACAACAUGUGGAAACGAAUGCUAAUACCGCAUAAAAACUUUAAACACAAGGUUUAAGUUUGAAAGAUGCAAUUGCAUCACUCAAAGAUGAUCCCGCGUUGUAUUAGCUAGUUGGUGAGGUAAAGGCUCACCAAGGCGAUGAUACAUAGCCGACCUGAGAGGGUGGUCGGCCACAAUGGGACGGGGACCCGGCCCAAACUCCCUAGGGAGGCAGCAGGAGGGAAUCUUUGGCAAUGGACGAAAGUCUGACCGAGCAACGCCGGGUGGGGGAAGAAGGUUUUCGGAUCGUAAAACUCUGUUGGUAGGGAAGAACGUUGGUGGGAGUGGAAAGCUCAUCAAGUGACGGUAACUAACCAGAAAGGGACGGCUAACUACGUG